This 253-nucleotide ribosomal RNA is filed under the name uncultured bacterium. RNAcentral's name for it is "partial 16S ribosomal RNA". It matches the Rfam family "Bacterial small subunit ribosomal RNA", at positions 524 to 776 of the family's 1533-position model. The record is from RNAcentral.
UACAGAGGUCUCGAGCGUUGUUCGGAUUCAUUGGGCGUAAAGGGUGCGUAGGUGGCGGGGUUAGUCAGGUGUGAAAUCUCGGGGCUCAACCCCGAAACUGCACUUGAUACUGCCUUGCUAGAGUACUGGAGAGGAGAUUGGAAUUUACGGUGUAGCAGUGAAAUGCGUAGAUAUCGUAAGGAAGACCAGUGGCGAAGGCGAAUCUCUGGACAGUUACUGACACUGAGGCACGAAGGCCAGGGGAGCAAACGGG